UUCUAUGAAAGGGACAAUUUAUUUAGGGAAACUUCAACACUCUAUAGAAAUGAGAAAUCACAAUGGGAGGUGUUUUGCUUUGUUAGUUUGUAUAGGUGGCAGCAGACUUAGGGUUUUUUUCUGUUCACUUGGAGCACAGACCAUUUGGACUAUGCCGGUUUCUGGGAAGCAUGAUUGGACAACAUGCCAUUACCAGUGUUCAGCAAUAUCCAGCUCUCUUCUUCUUUCUGGGCAGAUGGGAGACUAUGCUUCCCAGACGCUUGCAGUUAGGCAGAGCCAUAUAACAACUUCUGGCCCAGGAAACGGGAGCAGAAGCAAUAUGUGUCACUUUCAGGCCAAAGCCGCGAAAAGUCUCUCCACAGCAUCUGAGCUUCUCAUUCUCUUUGUCAAAGAACCAGGUCUGGUGUGGAGUUGGUAGAGCAACAGGCUAAAGCUGUAUGAAUUGCUGGAUCAUUGCAUGGAGGACAGCUGCCCUGGAGAGCUGCCUGGACCCACAGAGGAUUCCUAUACAUUUUUUUCACAUUAAGCCACUGAAGAAAAAAAAUACCACAGGAAAUUAACAAUUUUCAAAACUGUUCUUUUACCUAAAGCUCUUUUCAUAUCUUCAGAAUAUUUUCUUAGACACAACAGAAAAGAAAAUUAGGAGGCAAGAAUAAAAAAAAACUUCAAGACGGAAAAUAUUUUUAAAAUUUUCAUUCAGAUUUUUUUUUUACUUUUAAUAUAUCGGCAAGCAUAAGGCUAUCUUUGGUUUCCAUGCAACUGGCAUUGAUCAUGUUCGUGAAUAUAGCUAGGAUACCAGGGCCAAACCGUGUGUGCUCACUUGUUUUCCUGUCUCAGAACAACAUGAUACUGAAAAGCGGAGUCCCUCGUGUGAUGAAAACGUCUCCAGUUCGCAAUCAGUUGAAAAUGCAGUGGGCCCACAGCCAGAAAGCAUUCCUGUGCCGGAUCUUUUUUUCAGCACCCUAAAUUAACCAGCUGGAAUUCCCUUUUAAGUGCCAACCUACUCAGUUUUUCAGAAUGCAGAACUUUUCUUUUAAUGGGAUCUGUCUCUCAUCAUAAAGGUGGAACCGUGCAUUCUUGAUGUCUCUCAAAAGCAGUCUUUUUUAUACAGUAAGCUCAGGGAGGGUAAACACAGACGCCAGAGCACUGGUUUGAGACGGGGAUGUAGCCGCUGUGCAGAGACUCGGGUAGGGCACCGGCUAUCGCGGAGUGAAACCCUCAGCACAGUAUCCAGGACUGCCUUGUGCAGAACAGGUCAAGAUAAAAGAGGCUAUUGUAAAUAAAUAUUUAAAUUAAUUAAAUCUAUUGAUGAGGAAGAGCUCCAUGAUGUAGGAGCAGAAGAACUGAUGCAAUAUUUCAAAACUGAGGCUGGGCGUAUUCCCGCAGUGUUCCAGGCUGAGGCUGGGCGUGUUCCCGCGGUGUCCCGGGCUGAGGCCGGGCGUGUUCUUCCGGUGUUCCGGGCUGAGGCCGGGCGUGUUCCCGCGGUGUCCCGGGCU
Molecule: long non-coding RNA, 1496 nt
Filed under: Homo sapiens (human)
Lineage: Eukaryota; Metazoa; Chordata; Mammalia; Primates; Hominidae
Description: long non-coding RNA NONHSAT199602
Source: RNAcentral